Molecule: long non-coding RNA, 1865 nt
Filed under: Piliocolobus tephrosceles (Ugandan red Colobus)
Lineage: Eukaryota; Metazoa; Chordata; Mammalia; Primates; Cercopithecidae
Description: lncRNA (ENSPTEG00000014789.1)
Source: RNAcentral
GCGGUGGGCAAAGCUUCCGGUGCAUUUGCAGCUCAGCAGUCGAGCGUCAACCCCAAGCUGCAGAAACUCGGGUGCCCGCGCCUCCGGCAACCCCGGAGCCUCUGCGCUCCCGACCCUGCUCUGUCGCCCCUCGCCUCGGCGCCCGGCGGGAGCGGCUGUGGGGUGCGUGGGUCGCCCAGGGCCUGAGCCGGAGGAGAGUCCCGUCCCGCCGCGCCCCGUCUCCGGGCGCCCGGACGCUGCAGGCGCGGACGCCAUUGCCGCUGCCGCUGUUUGUUAUUAAACUGCCCACAGACGGGGCUUCGAGUAAAAAUACCAACUUUCCAGUCGGGGCGGCGCACGUCCCCGGGCCCUGGAAAGUUCUGGGACGGCCGAGGUCUCCUCGGACACCCUCACCCACGCCCCCGUCGUGCCCUUUCUGACUUUUGGCUCCUCGACUUCCCUUUUGUGCGGCCCCGGGCAGCUUCCUCAGGCCGCGCCGGCCCCACCUGCCGCCCUGGGAGCUGUUACUCCCCCGGCAGCAGGAGCAUCCAGCUCGGGUUUUAUUUCCUCCCGAGACACCGGAGAAGGCCUCAGGCCUUCAGAGGACCUGCUAGAGUCAGCUUCACUGCAGUUUCCCAGUGGCCCUUUGACAGUCUACAAACCAGCUGGAAAGCAAAGACCACCAUCAAGAAAAGGCCCUGAGCAGCAAACAGAGCCCCACCAUCCAUACAGAGGUCAGCCUGAAGGAAAGCUACAGCCAGAGGCUCCAGCUACCGGGUCUCAGAGCUACAGGCACUUUUACACAGGGGCAGACAGAGAUAAGGUGGGAGCUGAUGUAUUAUGCCUGGAAGGUACCAAGGAAAUGAUAAUGGAUGUUUCUAUUUGACACUUUGUUGUGUUUUUCUUUUUAAAAGAUUUGAAAUCAUUCGGGACAAUUUCUUAUUUCUAGCAACAGAGUGAUCUGAACCACUGAUUUGCUUGGAAAUCAAGAGAUUCUGUUUAUGGAUCUGUACUUUGGUCUAACAACUCUGUUUCACACUAUGGGCGGGCUUUAGCAGUGUAGUUUCCAGAUAGUAUCUGAAAUUAAAAAAAAAAAAGGGAGCAGGGGGAGAGAGAAAAUAAUUUGGGAGUAAUCUGAGCCUCUCGUAAACAGAUAAGAUCCAAGAAACCUCAGUCCCAAAUGACAUGAAGAGCAACUUGUACAUUCAUUUACUGACUCCAAAAUGGUCUCAUUCUUACUGAAUCGGUUUUUGUGCUGUUUCUUUUAAAACCUAACCCCCUUAACUGUUAGCAGCGUAUUUUUAAACAACAUUAGAGUGCCCUUUUCUAAUUGGUAAAAAGCAAUCAUCAUGAGGAUGAGUCACACUCCAGGACCCAGACAUCCCCUCAGUGUCCAGUUUCCUCCAGAAACACUUAGGUACGAAAGUGGGUCAGAAGUGCCCAUCAUCCCAGGCAUAUUCCUUCUUGAAUGUUUAAACCAACAUUGUUUUGUACUUAUAAGGAAUUGUUAUACUAAUCAUUUUUUUGCCAAAUUGGCCAUAAUAUAAUCCACCUACCACUGACCAACUACAGAAGAAAAAUUAAACAAAAGUUUUGCUGUUGUUAUCCUUUUUUUUCCUAGGGGUUGAGCUUCUGAAGCCAGGAGGUCACUUGGAUUAUGUAUACAACCUUGGUAAUUGCAUUCCUACAUUCUACAAAAUGCCACAGCACUCACUACAGUCCAAAAUAGCUGUUGCAAACAAUGACAAUUACUGCCCAGACAUUUUCAAACACAGCAGGUUACUGGCUGAAGCUGUGAUGGAAACCCUAAAAAAUAUAUAAAUAUUUUGAAAUGCUCUGUAAAUCAAACUGAUGCCCCAGACACAGAGUGGAUUGUCUCGAAGCAA